AUCUGGUUGAUUCUGCCAGUAGUCAUACGCUCGUCUCAAAGAUUAAGCCAUGCAUGUCUAAGUAUAAAUCUUUUACUUUGAAACUGCGAACGGCUCAUUAUAUCAGUUAUAAUUUAUUUGAUAGUCCCUUACUACUUGGAUAACCGUAGUAAUUCUAGAGCUAAUACAUGCGCCCAAACCCGACUCCGUGGAAGGGUUGUGUUUAUUAGUUACAGAACCAACCCAGGCUCUGCCUGGUCUUGUGGUGAUUCAUAAUAACCGAAUGAAUCGCAUUGCAUCAGCUGGCGAUGAAUCAUUCAAGUUUCUGACCUAUCAGCUUCCGACGGUAGUGUAUUGGACUACCGUGGCAAUGACGGG
RNAcentral lists this ribosomal RNA (357 nucleotides) under uncultured eukaryote. RNAcentral describes it as "partial Eukaryotic small subunit ribosomal RNA". It matches the Rfam family "Eukaryotic small subunit ribosomal RNA", at positions 1 to 359 of the family's 1831-position model. The record is from RNAcentral.